Molecule: small RNA, 28 nt
Filed under: Bombyx mori (domestic silkworm)
Lineage: Eukaryota; Metazoa; Arthropoda; Insecta; Lepidoptera; Bombycidae
Description: ovarian small RNA-37976
Source: RNAcentral
UUGCUUUGUUUUGGAGCCUUGUAAUAAA